RNAcentral lists this ribosomal RNA (449 nucleotides) under uncultured bacterium. RNAcentral describes it as "partial 16S ribosomal RNA". It matches the Rfam family "Bacterial small subunit ribosomal RNA", at positions 29 to 523 of the family's 1533-position model. The record is from RNAcentral.
AACGAACGCUGGCGGCAGGCUUAACACAUGCAAGUCGAGCGGGGACUUAGGUCCUAGCGGCGGACGGGUGAGUAACGCGUGGGAACGUGCCUUUUGCUUCGGGAUAGCCCUGGGAAACUGGGAGUAAUACCGGAUGAGCCCUUUGGGGGAAAGAUUUAUCGGCAAGAGAUCGGCCCGCGUUGGAUUAGGUAGUUGGUGGGGUAAAGGCCUACCAAGCCGACGAUCCAUAGCUGGUUUGAGAGGAUGAUCAGCCACACUGGGACUGAGACACGGCCCAGACUCCUACGGGAGGCAGCAGUGGGGAAUCUUAGACAAUGGGCGCAAGCCUGAUCUAGCCAUGCCGCGUGAGUGAUGAAGGCCUUAGGGUUGUAAAGCUCUUUCAGUGGGGAAGAUAAUGACGGUACCCACAGAAGAAGCCCCGGCUAACUCCGUGCCAGCAGCCGCCGUAA